Molecule: ribosomal RNA, 253 nt
Filed under: uncultured bacterium
Lineage: Bacteria
Description: partial 16S ribosomal RNA
Rfam family: Bacterial small subunit ribosomal RNA
Source: RNAcentral
UACAGAGGGUGCUAGCGUUGUCCGGAAUUAUUGGGCGUAAAGCGCGCGCAGGUGGUUUCUUAAGUCUGAUGUGAAAGCCCACGGCUCAACCGUGGAGGGUCAUUGGAAACUGGGGAACUUGAGUGCAGAAGAGGAAAGUGGAAUUCCAAGUGUAGCGGUGAAAUGCGUAGAGAUUUGGAGGAACACCAGUGGCGAAGGCGACUUUCUGGUCUGUAACUGACACUGAGGCGCGAAAGCGUGGGGAGCGAACAGG